UCUGGAGCAGUACUCACUGCUGCUCUAUCUGGUUCCUCUGGUCUGUACCUAUACAGAUAAACGCACAUGAGGGACCAAACUAGCUUAUGACUAACUCUAUUUAAACUCCCCAAGAAUCCCCUAAAACUCUCUCUAAUAGUCAUGCAAAACAAGCAAAGGAAAGCUGGACAGAACACUUUCGGCGGCAGGUUCGGCGGCCGAAUGUCCUCUCCAGAGACGAAACUCAAGCACCUUCGGCGGCCGAAUCCCCCACACGGAGCCGAACAUGCAAAACUCGCGGGGGGCAAACUGUGGCAGCCUAAGCCACCAUGCAAGAGGUUCGGCGGCCGAAUGCACCUUCGGCUGCCGAACCUGAGUUCAUCCAGAACUCAGCUUCAACGGCAAACCAUCUCCUCCUUCCCCUCAACCACUCAAACCAUAUAUACUCCAACUCCUCAACACACAUAUACAUAAGUAUAUGAUCACAGGGGUCCAAAACUAUCUAAUAACCCCAAACAACAAAUCAAACAUGUAUACAUACAUAAAUCAUCAAAACUAUCAUUUAUAACCUAAGCAUGCAUCUCCUUCCAUAACUCCCAUAAAACCUUCAGAAAACAUAAAAACAUGUUCAAGAGCAUCACUUACCUCCUGUUAUAAGAAGAUAAACACUCUGAUCAAAGGAAACGAACCACCUCUCUUCACACUCUCAAACUCUCAAAAACUUAGUUUUUGUUUUCUUCAACACUUUCAAACUCUCUUGCACACUAGCUAACUCUUGCAUGAGCUGCUCAAACUCAGCAAAUAAACCAGGGGAGACGUGGCCAACGUCUGGACAUGAGCUGGUGAUAACACCUGUCCAAAAUGCUGACU
This 849-nucleotide long non-coding RNA is filed under the name Manihot esculenta (cassava). RNAcentral describes it as "long non-coding RNA (MESC_LNC000613)". The record is from RNAcentral. Lineage: Eukaryota; Viridiplantae; Streptophyta; Magnoliopsida; Malpighiales; Euphorbiaceae.